AUACGUAGGGUGCAAGCGUUGUCCGGAAUUACUGGGCGUAAAGAGUUCGUAGGCGGUUUGUCGCGUCGUUUGUGAAAACCAGCAGCUCAACUGCUGGCUUGCAGGCGAUACGGGCAGACUUGAGUACUGCAGGGGAGACUGGAAUUCCUGGUGUAGCGGUGAAAUGCGCAGAUAUCAGGAGGAACACCGGUGGCGAAGGCGGGUCUCUGGGCAGUAACUGACGCUGAGGAACGAAAGCGUGGGUAGCGGACAGGAUUAGAUACCCUGGUAGUCCACGCCGUAAACGGUGGGCGCUAGGUGUGGGUUCCUUCCACGGAAUCCGUGCCGUAGCUAACGCAUUAAGCGCCCCGCCUGGGGAGUACGGCCGCAAGGCUAAA
This 377-nucleotide ribosomal RNA is filed under the name uncultured bacterium. Its description in RNAcentral is "bacterial SSU rRNA". It matches the Rfam family "Bacterial small subunit ribosomal RNA", at positions 523 to 898 of the family's 1533-position model. The record is from RNAcentral.